GAGAGCCAAAUGAAUCGAAAGUUUCAUGUUUGGCUCAGGAAGAGAUCAUGGAAGUUUUGAAAUGAAUGGGAAGAUAAUCUACCUCCAU
This is a non-coding RNA of Nelumbo nucifera (sacred lotus), 88 nucleotides long. The record is from Rfam. Lineage: Eukaryota; Viridiplantae; Streptophyta; Magnoliopsida; Proteales; Nelumbonaceae.